This 2332-nucleotide ribosomal RNA is filed under the name Listeria monocytogenes. RNAcentral describes it as "bacterial LSU rRNA". It matches the Rfam family "Bacterial large subunit ribosomal RNA", at positions 1 to 2323 of the family's 2925-position model. Lineage: Bacteria; Bacillati; Bacillota; Bacilli; Caryophanales; Listeriaceae. The record is from RNAcentral.
UUGGUUAAGUUAGAAAGGGCGCACGGUGGAUGCCUUGGCACUAGGAGCCGAAGAAGGACGGGACUAACACCGAUAUGCUUUGGGGAGCUGUACGUAAGCGUUGAUCCAGAGAUUUCCGAAUGGGGGAACCCACUAUCUUUAGUCGGAUAGUAUCCUUACGUGAAUACAUAGCGUGAGGAAGGCAGACCCAGGGAACUGAAACAUCUAAGUACCUGGAGGAAGAGAAAGAAAAAUCGAUUUCCUGAGUAGCGGCGAGCGAAAUGGAAAGAGCCCAAACCAAGAAGCUUGCUUCUUGGGGUUGUAGGACACUCUAUACGGAGUUACAAAAGAAAGUUAUAAAUGAAGCGGUCUGGAAAGGCCCGCCAAAGACGGUAACAGCCCGGUAGUUGAAAUGGCUUUCCCUCCAGAGUGGAUCCUGAGUACGGCGGAACACGUGAAAUUCCGUCGGAAUCCGGGAGGACCAUCUCCCAAGGCUAAAUACUCCCUAGUGACCGAUAGUGAACCAGUACCGUGAGGGAAAGGUGAAAAGCACCCCGGAAGGGGAGUGAAACAGUUCCUGAAACCGUGUGCCUACAAGUAGUUAGAGCCCGUUAAUGGGUGAUAGCGUGCCUUUUGUAGAAUGAACCGGCGAGUUACGAUUUGUUGCAAGGUUAAGCGGAAAAAGCGGAGCCGUAGCGAAAGCGAGUCUGAAUAGGGCGCAUAAGUAACAGGUCGUAGACCCGAAACCAGGUGAUCUACCCAUGUCCAGGAUGAAGGUAAGGUAAUACUUACUGGAGGUCCGAACCCACGCACGUUGAAAAGUGCGGGGAUGAGGUGUGGGUAGCGGAGAAAUUCCAAUCGAACUUGGAGAUAGCUGGUUCUCUCCGAAAUAGCUUUAGGGCUAGCCUCGAGGUAAAGAGUCAUGGAGGUAGAGCACUGUUUGGACUAGGGGCCCUUCUCGGGUUACCGAAUUCAGAUAAACUCCGAAUGCCAUGUACUUAUACUCGGGAGUCAGACUGCGAGUGAUAAGAUCCGUAGUCGAAAGGGAAACAGCCCAGACCACCAGUUAAGGUCCCCAAAUAUAUGUUAAGUGGAAAAGGAUGUGGGGUUGCUUAGACAACCAGGAUGUUGGCUUAGAAGCAGCCACCAUUGAAAGAGUGCGUAAUAGCUCACUGGUCGAGUGACCCCGCGCCGAAAAUGUACCGGGGCUAAACAUAUUACCGAAACUGUGGAUGAACCUCUUUAGAGGUUCGUGGUAGGAGAGCGUUCUAAGGGCGGUGAAGUCAGACCGGAAGGACUGGUGGAGCGCUUAGAAGUGAGAAUGCCGGUAUGAGUAGCGAAAGAAGGGUGAGAAUCCCUUCCACCGAAUAUCUAAGGUUUCCUGAGGAAGGCUCGUCCGCUCAGGGUUAGUCGGGACCUAAGCCGAGGCCGAUAGGCGUAGGCGAUGGACAACAGGUAGAGAUUCCUGUACCAGUGCUAAUUGUUUAACCGAUGGGGUGACACAGAAGGAUAGGGAAUCGCACGAAUGGAAAUGUGCGUCCAAGCAGUGAGUGUGAGAAGUAGGCAAAUCCGCUUCUCGCGAAGCAUGAGCUGUGAUGGGGAAGGAAAUUAAGUACGGAAGUUCCUGAUUUCACGCUGUCAAGAAAAGCCUCUAGGAAGAGUAGUACUGCCCGUACCGCAAACCGACACAGGUAGAUGAGGAGAGAAUCCUAAGGUGAGCGAGAGAACUCUCGUUAAGGAACUCGGCAAAAUGACCCCGUAACUUCGGGAGAAGGGGUGCUCUAUUAGGGUGCAAGCCCGAGAGAGCCGCAGUGAAUAGGCCCAGGCGACUGUUUAGCAAAAACACAGGUCUCUGCAAAACCGUAAGGUGACGUAUAGGGGCUGACGCCUGCCCGGUGCUGGAAGGUUAAGAGGAGUGCUUAGCUUCGGCGAAGGUACGAAUUGAAGCCCCAGUAAACGGCGGCCGUAACUAUAACGGUCCUAAGGUAGCGAAAUUCCUUGUCGGGUAAGUUCCGACCCGCACGAAAGGCGCAACGAUCUGGGCACUGUCUCAACGAGAGACUCGGUGAAAUUAUAGUACCUGUGAAGAUGCAGGUUACCCGCGACAGGACGGAAAGACCCCGUGGAGCUUUACUGCAACCUGAUAUGGAAUGUUUGUACCGCUUGUACAGGAUAGGUAGGAGCCGAAGAGACGUGUGCGCUAGCAUACGAGGAGGCAAUGGUGGGAUACUACCCUGGCUGUAUGACCAUUCUAACCCGCCACGCUUAGCGCGUGGGGAGACAGUGUCAGGUGGGCAGUUUGACUGGGGCGGUCGCCUCCUAAAGAGUAACGGAGGCGCCCAAAGGUUCCCUC